Molecule: ribosomal RNA, 804 nt
Filed under: uncultured Paracoccaceae bacterium
Lineage: Bacteria; Pseudomonadati; Pseudomonadota; Alphaproteobacteria; Rhodobacterales; Paracoccaceae
Description: bacterial SSU rRNA
Rfam family: Bacterial small subunit ribosomal RNA
Source: RNAcentral
ACGCUGGCGGCAGGCCUAACACAUGCAAGUCGAGCGCGCCUUCGGGUGAGCGGCGGACGGGUUAGUAACGCGUGGGAACGUACCCUUCUCUACGGAAUAGCCUUUGGAAACGAAGAGUAAUACCGUAUACGCCCUUUGGGGGAAAGAUUUAUCGGAGAAGGAUCGGCCCGCGUUAGAUUAGAUAGUUGGUGGGGUAACGGCCUACCAAGUCUACGAUCUAUAGCUGGUUUUAGAGGAUGAUCAGCAACACUGGGACUGAGACACGGCCCAGACUCCUACGGGAGGCAGCAGUGGGGAAUCUUAGACAAUGGGCGCAAGCCUGAUCUAGCCAUGCCGCGUGAGUGAUGAAGGCCUUAGGGUCGUAAAGCUCUUUCGCCUGUGAUGAUAAUGACAGUAGCAGGUAAAGAAACCCCGGCUAACUCCGUGCCAGCAGCCGCGGUAAUACGGAGGGGGUUAGCGUUGUUCGGAAUUACUGGGCGUAAAGCGCACGUAGGCGGAUUGGAAAGUUGGGGGUGAAAUCCCGGGGCUCAACCCCGGAACUGCCUCCAAAACUAUCAGUCUAGAGUUCGAGAGAGGUGAGUGGAAUUCCAAGUGUAGAGGUGAAAUUCGUAGAUAUUUGGAGGAACACCAGUGGCGAAGGCGGCUCACUGGCUCGAUACUGACGCUGAGGUGCGAAAGUGUGGGGAGCAAACAGGAUUAGAUACCCUGGUAGUCCACACCGUAAACGAUGAAUGCCAGUCGUCGGGCAGUAUACUGUUCGGUGACACACCUAACGGAUUAAGCAUUCCGCCUGGGGAGUACGGU